This 506-nucleotide ribosomal RNA is filed under the name uncultured bacterium. Its description in RNAcentral is "partial 16S ribosomal RNA". It matches the Rfam family "Bacterial small subunit ribosomal RNA", at positions 28 to 523 of the family's 1533-position model. The record is from RNAcentral.
GAUGAACGCUAGCGGCAGGCCUAACACAUGCAAGUCGAGGGGCAGCACAUAAAGUGGUUUACUACUUUUGGUGGCGACCGGCGGACGAGUGCGUAACGCGUAUGCAACCUGCCUCCAACAGGGGGAUAACGGAGAGAAAUUUCCACUAAUACCCCAUAAUAUCAGAAUCGGCAUCGGUGUUGGUUGAAAACUCCGGUGGUUGGAGAUGGGCAUGCGUUUUAUUAGAUAGUUGGUGAGGUAACGGCUCACCAAGUCAACGAUACAUAGGGGGACUGAGAGGUUAGCCCCCCACACUGGUACUGAGACACGGACCAGACUCCUACGGGAGGCAGCAGUGAGGAAUAUUGGUCAAUGGGGGCAACCCUGAACCAGCCAUGCCGCGUGCAGGAAGACGGCUCUAUGAGUUGUAAACUGCUUUUACAAGGGGAUAAAUCGGUGUACGUGUACACCGUUGAAGGUACCUUGGGAAUAAGGAUCGGCUAACUCCGUGCCAGCCGCCGCGGUAA